This is a long non-coding RNA of Cydia pomonella (codling moth), 2936 nucleotides long. RefSeq lists it as uncharacterized. The transcript is spliced from 3 exons. Lineage: Eukaryota; Metazoa; Arthropoda; Insecta; Lepidoptera; Tortricidae. The record is from RefSeq and is a predicted model, not a curated record.
UUUUUUUUUUUUUUUUUUUUUUAAUGGCUUCGCGCUCCUGGCGCAUUCAGCCAGACGAGUAAAACGGGGAAACGGAAUUAAGGAUUACAUUAAAACGGGUAGGACGGAAUUUUGGAAAAGGAUCAGGAAAAGGUUAAUAAUUCAAAUAAUUUAAAGUUUAAUGUUGUGACGUGAAAUAAAAGAAUACAAUGAUUUAAAUAUAUAUGAAGAUGAAUCAUUAAUAUACAGGAGUGUUGUAAUAGAUGUGGGAAACGGAACUUUUAAAUCUGACAGCUGUCUUAAUAAUAUAGAACGGUCAUAUAGGUUACAAUUACCAGAAAAAAAGAUAUGAUUAAGAUCAGCGGGAUCAGUUCCACAAAUACAUGCAGAACUGGCCACACGAUUUUGUAGUUUCAGGUGUUCCGGUGUACAUACAUGGCCCAAUCUCAUACGAAUCAACAUACUAGUUGCAGGCUUUGGCAAAGAGAUUUUAGCAAACCAAGAAUUCCAAAGCACUCGCCACUGUACACAGAGGACUCUGGAGGCAACUUUAUUUUUUGGUAAAUAUUAGACUGGGUGUGAAGUACACCAAUGCCAACACACCCAUUGUCAGACAUCUUAGAAGCAUCUGUGUAUAUAUGAUCAGCAGCUAGGCCAUCUGUUCCAAUGAAUCCCAGGAAUUGUUGAUUUUGUUCAACAUCAUUCUUAGAAAUGCCGAUAUUAAGGAGAACUGAAGGAUCAAGUAUUACAGAUUCAUAUUCAUACUGGAAAAUGGGAAGUGUUGAAGAGCUAACAGUGGGAGCUGAAAUAGAUUUAAGUUUUUGAAAACUUUUAAUCAAACAUGGAGGACUCUUGUGCUUCCAGUAGUUAGAAGUAGUUAUUUGAAGCAGGAGGUUAGACAAGAUAACCCAGAGUUGAUGAUUAGAAAAUUGGGAGCAGCGGAAAAUAAACCUAUCACAAAGAUAUUGGCGUCGUAAAUGGAGUGGAGGCUCAGCACACUCAACUUGCAUAGCAUUGAUAGGGCUUGAAUUCAUGGCACCGCAUAUCAUUCUCAGGGCUUUUGAUUGAAUACGAUCUAAUUUUUGGAAGCCUGCUACAAAUCCUGGCUCUAACAAAAAUGUUCCAUAAUCUAGAAUACUUCUUAUCAAGGCAUUAUACAUUAAUUUUAUGCAAAGAGGAUGCGAACCCCACCAAACUCCUGAAACACACCUAAGGAUAUUAAUAUUUUUUUCACAUUUAGAAACUAUGUAAUCACAAUGUGGAAGACCUGUUAAUUUAUUAUCUAAAAUAACACCUAGGAACUUGGUUUUAUCUUUAAUGGGAAUGGAGCAGUUAUUAAAUUGCACAUUGAUUGGAGGAGGAAACAGUUUUCUAGUAAACAAAACUACAACACUUUUAGGAACUGAGAGUUCCAGACCAUUUGAAUCUAACCAUAACUUCAAUAAACCCAAAGAACAAGUAAUGGAUCUACUGGCCUGUUCAAUAGAAAGGUUUGGUGAAUAUAAUAAUAAAUCAUCAGCAUAUUGCAAAAUUCUGACAGUGCCAUUUAAGGAUGACUCUAAAUCGGAUGUGUAGAUAUUAUAUAGCAAUGGACUUAAUACGGAACCUUGUGGAAGACCUCUCCAAACUAAACGGGAAAUCCUAUUGUUGUCAUCUAUAAGAAGGCUAAUGGACCUUUCUGAUAAAAGAUUUAUUAUGAAAUUGCUUAACAUUAUUGGUACAGCUAAUCUAUGAAGUUUUGCUUGUAAUACUGAGACUAAAACAUUAUCAUAAGCGGCACUUAUAUCAAGAAAAGCAGCUACUACAGACUCAUUUCUAGAAAAUGCUAAUCUAAUUUCUGCAACUAAUAUACCCAAACUAUCAUAGGUAGAUCUACCUUUUCGGAAUCCAAACUGACUAUGAGAAAGUAAUUGGUUUUUUUCUACAAAAUAUUCUAAUCUGUUUUUAAUCAAAUGUUCUGCUACUUUAACAAAUACUGAAGAAAGGGCAAUUGGACGAUAAGAAGAAACAUCUGUUGCUUGUUUGUUGGGUUUUAAUAUAGGAAUAACUAUUUGAGAUCUCCAAGAAUCCGGGACUGUACCAGAUUGGAUGACAAAAUUUAUUAUAUUCAGAUAAUAAGAGAGAAUACCAUCACUAGCAUUUGCUAAAAAGGAAUAUGGGACUCCAUCAUCCCCAGGGAAAAUUUCAUCAGCUGCUUCGGUAAUCGUCUGGGCUAAGGCAACUGAGCAGCUAACUACAUUACUAGCAUCUAUAGUGGGCAAACACAACAAUUUCUCCUCUACGCGGCUUUUGAAAAGUUUCCAAUCAACAUUACUUAAAUUAUACUUAAGCCUAGGGCUAGGUUUUGGAGAUGGAGGAAUGGAAGUUGGAAAUGUAAUAAUAAUAGGGUAGUGAUCACUCCCAUAUGUUGAAUCUAAGGUAUGCCAAGAGAGAGAGGAUGCAAGAUCGACCGAACAAAUAGAUAAAUCAAUAGCGCUAAUUGACUCUGUUGGCGCUGUUCGGCGGGUUGGAGAGCCAGUGUUUAAAACACAAAGGUUGUGUUCGUCUAAGAUAUGUAUGAGACGAUCUCCAUUAUAAUUAGAUGAUGAACUACCCCAAAACUGGUGAUGCGAGUUAAAGUCUCCUAAAAUUAACACGGGCCUAGGGAGAGAAGAAAUUAUUUGUUCAAGCUCAUCAAAAAUGGAUGAUGAUGGAUGAGGUAUAUAUACAGAAAUGAUACAGAUGUUAUUUACAAUGGCAGCAACAAUUGAAAAAUCAUCGCUAUGGGAUGGAAGAUUAUAAGGUGAAAAUGAAAUGGAAUUCCUGACGAGUAGAGCUACACCGCCCCAUCCGCCAGGACGGUCCUCUCUGAGACAUGAAUAUCCAGUAGCUCUAAGAAGAGCUCCAGGCUUUAGCCAUGUCUCAGAGAGGGCAAAAACAAAAGGUUGAAAUUUGUUUAAUAAAUGUAUUAGAUCUUG